This is a non-coding RNA of Meriones unguiculatus (Mongolian gerbil), 524 nucleotides long. NCBI's taxonomy places the organism in Eukaryota, Metazoa, Chordata, Mammalia, Rodentia, Muridae. The record is from the annotation of a RefSeq genome assembly.
CAGCAGGGGGAGCAAGAUGAAGUCACAAACCCAGGUUUUCACGUCCUUGCUGCUUUGGGUGUCGGGUGCCUGUGCAGACAUUGUGAUGACUCAGUCUUCAUCCUUCCUGGCUGUGUCAGCGGGAGAGAAGGUCUCCAUCAGCUGCAGGUCCAGUCAGAGUCUUUAUUACAGUGGCAAUAACUACUUGGCCUGGUACCAGCAGAAACCAGGGCAAUCCCCUAAGCUGCUGGUCUACUGGGCAUCCACUCGGCAUACUGGGGUCCCUGAUCGCUUCACAGGCAGUGGAUCUGGCACAGAUUUCACUCUCAGCAUCAGCAGUGUACAGGCUGAAGACCUGGCAGUUUAUUACUGUCAGCAGUACUUUGAAGAUCCUCCCACAGUGCUUCAGCCUCCAACACAAACCUCCUUGAGAGUCUCACCAGCUGCCUGCACCACACACAGCCCUGGCCCUGCACACUUCCCCCUUCUGCCUGAUAGCUGGUGUGCCAGAGAAACUUGCGAAUAGUUUGCAGAAGAAAGGUUAA